This 207-nucleotide long non-coding RNA is filed under the name Nicotiana benthamiana. Its description in RNAcentral is "long non-coding RNA (NBEN_LNC000235)". Lineage: Eukaryota; Viridiplantae; Streptophyta; Magnoliopsida; Solanales; Solanaceae. The record is from RNAcentral.
CUUUGAUCGCCAUGCCGGAGUGAGACUUCUGAGGAUCUUCCGGACAGGUUCUCUAUCCGUAACGUCUUUUUGAGGGCGUGUAGAUCAUUCACGAUCAUUGAGAAUCGCUUAAACAUUUCGUCUACUUUCUCUCCUUCCUUCAUUUGGAAUAGUUCAUAAGAGUGAGUUAAGAAAUCAAUUUUAGCUUCUCGUACCUGGUCGGUUCCU